GAUGAACGCUGACAGAAUGCUUAACACAUGCAAGUCAACUUGAACUUCGGUUUGGGUGGCGGACGGGUGAGUAACGCGUAAAGAACUUGCCUCACAGCUAGGGACAACAUUUGGAAACGAAUGCUAAUACCUGAUAUUAUGAUUAUAUGGCAUCGUAUAAUUAUGAAAGCUAUAUGCGCUGUGAGAGAGCUUUGCGUCCCAUUAGCUAGUUGGAGAGGUAACAGCUCACCAAGGCGAUGAUGGGUAGCCGGCCUGAGAGGGUGAUCGGCCACAAGGGGACUGAGACACGGCCCUUACUCCUACGGGAGGCAGCAGUGGGGAAUAUGGGACAAUGGACCGAGAGUCUGAUCCAGCAAUUCUGUGUGCACGAUGAAGUUUUUCGGAAUGUAAAGUGCUUUCAGUUGGGAAGAAAAAAAUGACGGUACCAACAGAAGAAGUGACGGCUAAAUACGUG
RNAcentral lists this ribosomal RNA (454 nucleotides) under uncultured bacterium. Its description in RNAcentral is "partial 16S ribosomal RNA". It matches the Rfam family "Bacterial small subunit ribosomal RNA", at positions 28 to 507 of the family's 1533-position model. The record is from RNAcentral.